RNAcentral lists this ribosomal RNA (253 nucleotides) under uncultured bacterium. Its description in RNAcentral is "partial 16S ribosomal RNA". It matches the Rfam family "Bacterial small subunit ribosomal RNA", at positions 524 to 776 of the family's 1533-position model. The record is from RNAcentral.
UACGGAGGGUGCGAGCGUUGUUCGGAAUCACUGGGCUUAAAGGGCGCGUAGGCGGGCCGUCCAGUCAGGGGUGAAAUCCUCCAGCUUAACUGGAGAACAGCUUUUGAUACUGACGGCCUCGAGGGGGGUAGGGGCAUGUGGAACUUCCGGUGGAGCGGUGAAAUGCGUAGAUAUCGGAAGGAACGCCGGUGGCGAAAGCGACGUGCUGGACCCUUUCUGACGCUGAGGCGCGAAAGCCAGGGGAGCAAACGGG